RNAcentral lists this ribosomal RNA (445 nucleotides) under uncultured bacterium. RNAcentral describes it as "partial 16S ribosomal RNA". It matches the Rfam family "Bacterial small subunit ribosomal RNA", at positions 354 to 796 of the family's 1533-position model. The record is from RNAcentral.
GUGAGGAAUAUUGCGCAAUGGAGGCAACUCUGACGCAGCCAUGCCGCGUGCAGGAAGAAGGCGCUACGCGUUGUAAACUGCUUUUAACCGGGAAGAAACCCCAGGACGUGUCCUGGGUUGACGGUACCGGAGGAAUAAGCACCGGCUAACUUCGUGCCAGCAGCCGCGGUAAUACGAAGGGUGCAAGCGUUAUCCGGAUUCAUUGGGUUUAAAGGGUGCGUAGGCGGAGCGUUAAGUCAGUGGUGAAAUCCUGCAGCUUAACUGUAGACUUGCCAUUGAUACUGGCGCUCUUGAGUGCGCUUGAAGUGGGCGGAAUGUGCCGUGUAGCGGUGAAAUGCUUAGAUAUGGCACAGAACACCAAUUGCGAAGGCAGCUCACUAAGGCGAUACUGACGCUGAGGCACGAAAGCGCGGGGAUCGAACAGGAUUAGAUACCCCGGUAGUCC